RNAcentral lists this ribosomal RNA (1108 nucleotides) under Solanum pimpinellifolium. Its description in RNAcentral is "eukaryotic LSU rRNA". It matches the Rfam family "Eukaryotic large subunit ribosomal RNA", at positions 2048 to 3182 of the family's 3401-position model. Lineage: Eukaryota; Viridiplantae; Streptophyta; Magnoliopsida; Solanales; Solanaceae. The record is from RNAcentral.
CGGGGGACGGACUGCGAACGGUUCCUUCGGGGGCCAUCCCCGGGCGUCGAACACCCAACUCACAAUUGGUAUAGACAAGGGGAAUCCGAUUGUUUAAUUAAAACAAAGCAUUGCGAUGGUCCGAACGGAUAUUUAUGCAAUGUGAUUUCUGCCCUAUGCUAUAAAUGUCAAAGUGAAGAAAUUCAACAAAACACGGGUAAACGGCGGGAGUAACUAUGACUCUCUUAAGGUACCCAAAUGCCUCGUCGUCUAAAUAGUGAUGCGCAUGAAUGGAUUAACGAGAUUCCUUCUGUUCCUGUCUACUAUCCAGCGAAACUACAGCCAAUGGAACGGGCUUGGCAGAAUCAGCAGGGAAAGAAGACCUUGUUGAGCUUUACUCUAGUCCGACUUUGUGAAAUGACUUGAGAGGUGUAGUAUAAUUGGGAUCCAAAAGGCGAAACUGAAAUACCACUACUUUUAACGUUAUUUUACUUAUUCCGUGGCCCCUCUUUUUAUACCGAAGGCUCGCUUCGCGGGAUGAUCUUGGAGGAAGACAUUGUCAGGUGGGAAGCUUGGCUGGGGCGGCACAUCUGUUAAAAGAUAACGCAGGUGUCCUAUGAUGAGCUCAACGAGAAUAGAAAUCUCGUGUGGAAUAGAAGGGUAAAAGGUCGUUUGAUUCUGAUUUCCAGUACGAAUAUGAACCGUGAAAGCGUGGCCUAAUGAUCCUUUAGACCUUCGGAAUUCGAAGCUAGAGGUGUCAAAAAAGUUACCACAAGGAUAACUGGCUUGUGGAAGCUAAGCGUUCAUAGCGACGUUACUUUUUGAUCCUUCGAUAUCGGCUCUUCCUAUCAUUGUGAAGCAGAAAUCACCAAGUGUUGGAUUGUUCACCCACCAAUAGGAAACGUGAGCUGGGUUUAGCUCGUCGUGAGACAAGUUUGUUUUACCCUUCUGAUGACAGUGUCGCAAUAGUAAUUCAACCUAGUACGAGAGGAACCGUUGAUUCACACAAUUGGCCAUCACGCUUGGUUUAAAAUCCAAUGGUGCGAAGCUACCGUGUGCCGGAUUAUGACUGAAUGCUCUAAGUCAUAAUCUGGGCUAGAAGCGACGCAUGAGCCUGCCGUCCGCUUGC